GCCUCCGUAGCUCAGUGGAUAGAGCGUCUGCCUUCUAAGCAGCGGGUCGCAGGUUCGAAUCCUGCCGGGGGCG
Molecule: transfer RNA, 73 nt
Filed under: Bifidobacteriaceae bacterium
Lineage: Bacteria; Bacillati; Actinomycetota; Actinomycetes; Bifidobacteriales; Bifidobacteriaceae
Description: tRNA-Arg
Rfam family: tRNA
About the family: Transfer RNA (tRNA) molecules are approximately 80 nucleotides in length. Their secondary structure includes four short double-helical elements and three loops (D, anti-codon, and T loops). Further hydrogen bonds mediate the characteristic L-shaped molecular structure. tRNAs have two regions of fundamental functional importance: the anti-codon, which is responsible for specific mRNA codon recognition, and the 3' end, to which the tRNAs corresponding amino acid is attached (by aminoacyl-tRNA synthetases). tRNAs cope with the degeneracy of the genetic code in two manners: having more than one tRNA (with a specific anti-codon) for a particular amino acid; and 'wobble' base-pairing, i.e. permitting non-standard base-pairing at the 3rd anti-codon position.
Source: RNAcentral